This is a long non-coding RNA of Cydia splendana, 3453 nucleotides long. RefSeq lists it as uncharacterized. The transcript has 4 exons. The record is from RefSeq and is a predicted model, not a curated record. Lineage: Eukaryota; Metazoa; Arthropoda; Insecta; Lepidoptera; Tortricidae.
UUUCAAAAUGUAAAAGGACUUGUACUAUUAAUGGUGUCACAAUUAUUUUACAUCAAUUUACCAAAGAAUUAAGUUUGAAAAUAUAAGUAACAAUUUCAAAGCAUCAUUAUUAUCAUUCAGGGAACAUGAUGCAUGGUCGCAUUGUGGAUACUGACAUUGCAUAUUAAAAUGAAAAGGUUAAGAUCUCCUUGUAGGUAUUUAAAAGAAAGUGAAUAAGUUCACUAUAUUUGGAAUUCUUGAAUAUCUACUUCAUACCUUCGAAUUGUUGACAAGUGGUAUUUAUAUUUAAACCUUAUUGCACAAAAUAGGUAUACACAAGUGUUCAAAUUUGUUUUUCUAAAUUUAUAAAUUUAAUGCAGGUCUUGUCUAAUGACUCUAGUGAAAGCGUUUGUUGCACGGGAUUGGCUAAACAAGAACAGAUUACUUUUCGGUGUUGACACAAUAUUUAUUGUCUAAUAAUUUUGCAUAGUAUUCAGUUAUAUUUUUAAAAUUUGACUAGGUAUGCGAAGUUGAAAUAGUACAGUUAUACAUCUGUAAUACCAUGGAUUGUGAUGAAAAAUGAUUAUGAUUACAAUCCAGUAAUAAACCACAAAUGAAACUAUGAAUUAUUGUUGCUAUGAAAUACAAUUUAUUUGUGGCUUUAUGGUUUCAUUUGCAUAAAAACUUAACAGCUGGUGAUGCCUAAUUAAGUUAAUCAAAUGGACGGAUCCUAGAGGUCAUAAAUUGUGGAAUUUGGGUUGCUAAGAGGUGGGUAAUGGUCAGGAAUAGUGUCGGUCGAAUGCAAAAGCAGAUUACUUGUGUAUACAUUAUCAAUUAUAAGAGGGUCCAUUUAUAAAAUUAAAAUGUUGGCAAGAGCAGUGCCUGUUUGAAAAGACAAGACUUAAAGAAUUCUCAUUGAAGAUUGACUUAAAGAGUAAGGUCGAUGAGUGGGUACAAAUAAUGUCACAAGUUUUAGUGCAGGGUUUUAGUAUGGUUUUGUGCAAAAGUCUGUGACUGAUUUAAACAAAAGACUCAACACCAGAGUAAGUUGAAUGAACGAAUCUAAAAGUAUAUAACAUUCAAAUUUAAAGAAGCCUUAUAAAGUAGGCUGUGUAGAAGUAACUUGGAGUAAAUUUUUAUUUUACAUUUCUUUUCAAUUCAUUAAACUUUGAAAGUAUCCUUAAAAUUUGGUUUAUUGUUAGGUUUAACACAUGGUACAUUUAUGAUUUUAUGACGAAGACACAGUGAUGACAAGAGAAAUAGAUUGGUGAUAUUAACCAUGUGAACCAUGAUUCAUAAACACAACAUUUAUGGUUGCAGUUUUACAGCCAUAGCCGAUUGGCUCUAACUAUUAAAAAAAAGGUGUAUAAAUAUAUUGGAAUGUAAUUACUUCCAAUAGUUUCAAUAAUAUAGUAGGUUGGGUAAUGACGCUAGUAUUUGCUACGGUGUACUUGGUGUAGUAUAUGCUUGUACCUAUUUGGAGCCUUUUCUUUCCGGGUGCAUGUGACCCCGAGGUUUAGUGUUGCGUUUUUUACCAUCCCUGUGGCUGAAUAUUACUAUGGUGAAAUGUUGCACGAAGUUUAGGACGAAACAUCAGGACCAUCAGGUUAUUGAAUAAAUAUCUGUUUAUAUAAAUUCAACAAAAUAAAACAUGAUUUGAAUGUAAUCUUCUCAAAGUUGAUAAAUUGAUGAAUAUUUAUUAUUUUAUUUUAUUAAUGUUGAGGAUUUUUGAUGAAGAUAAUGAUUGAUAUCCAUGACGAUAUUGACGUCUAAUUACAAUUUUAGUAACGAUGAGUAGGUGUCUAAUACAAAUACUUUAUUUAUAACGCUAAGGAAGAUCUUAGGUACCAGAGGUCCGAUAAUGAUGAUGAUGUAGGUAUAUGACUGAACAUGUCUACUAGUUAAGUAAGUGUCGAUGUCGGCGACAAUGUUUGCUCCAUGACUAUGACAGGGUCAAUAACUGGCCAUAUCGAUGAUAAAAACGGAGCUGGAUGAUUUCCAUGACAAUGUCGGCGAUAAAGCUUGACUGACCACUUUGAUGACGAUAUAUAGAUGACGUUUAUAGUAAGAUUAAUUGAUGAUGGUAAUGAUUGACUGGUUCCAUGUGUAUAAUCAAUGAUUAAAUUGUUGACGAGGACUGAGACUAAAAUGAUCGUUGCUACUGCCAAUAAUUAUAACAUUUGUUUUUAUUUUUUUUAUGUUACAACGCUGGUAACCUGGCUGAAUGGAUGAAGUUGAUAAUGAGCGAGGGCUUCGCAGCAAGAGCUGACUGAAGUAAAGGAGGUUAAACUGUUAAGACGGUGCUGCCAGAAGUGGGCAGGGCCCAAGCUGCCGAUGGACAGGGCCACAGAGCGAGGAACCGACAUACAUACGUGCCGUGUUCAAGAUUACUGCCUUCUGCAUCUGAUCCUUGAUCCAGCGACCAGCGAGAGUAUCUACAGGUGUUGUUUUGGACUCUUAGCUGAUAAGAUUGCUAUUAUAUUAAUAUUAUGAAUCUAGAAUAUAACCGUUGAGUUUUGGCAGACUGUCUAGUGCAGGCCGUAAUGGCAGACUGUCUAGAGCAGGCCAUGACUGUUUAUUAUGUUAGUUUAUGCUUUGGCAAAGUUAGGUUCUUGUAAUAUGGGCCUUGUUGUCUGAUCCAAAUAAAUAUAUAUACAUAUUAGUUUAUACUUUGACAAACUGUCCAGCGCAGGCCUUGAAGGCAGACUGUCUGGGGCAGGCUUUGAUAGCAGACUGUCUUCUAGAGCAGGCCGUGAUGGCAGACUGUCUAGACAACUCAAGUCUAGAGCAGGCCAUAACAAUUUAUACUUUGGAAUGAUAUCUAGAGCAGGCCUUAAGGGCAGACUGUGAAUGUUUAUGAUGAAUUAUACUUUGUCAAACUAUAGAGUAAGCCUAAAUGGCAGACUGUGAUUGUUUAUGAUAAAUUAUACUUUGCCAAACUAUUUAGAGCAGGCCUAAAUGGCAGACUGAUUGUUUUGAUGAAUUAUGUUUUGCAAAUCAUUUAAAGCAGGUCUUAAUACUGUGAUUGUUUAUGAUGAAUUAUGUUUUGCCAAACUAUUUAGAGCAGGCCUAAAUGGUCUUAAUACUGUGAUUGUUUAUGAUGAAUUAUGUUUUGCCAAACUAUUUAGAGCAGGCCUAAAUGGCAGACUGAUUGUUUUGAUGAAUUAUGUUUUGCAAAUCAUUUAAAGCAGGUCUUAAUACUGUGAUUGUUUAUGAUGAAUUAUGUUUUGCCAAACUAUUUAGAGCAGGCCUAAAUGGUCUUAAUACUGUGAUUGUUUAUGAUGAAUUAUGUUUUGCUAAAUUAUUUAGAGCAGGCCUUAUAAGGGUAGACUGUCAUUGUUUAUGACGUUUUAUACUUUGCCAUACUGUUUAGAGCAGGCCUUGAGGGCAGAUUGUGAAUGUUAAUGUUGGCUUAUACUUUGGCAGAUGUCUAGACCAGACCAAGACUGUAAGUUAGUUCAUAUGUAUUGAAAG